RNAcentral lists this ribosomal RNA (650 nucleotides) under uncultured bacterium. RNAcentral describes it as "bacterial SSU rRNA". It matches the Rfam family "Bacterial small subunit ribosomal RNA", at positions 828 to 1478 of the family's 1533-position model. The record is from RNAcentral.
AGACUUGAUCUCUUAGUAACGAAGCUAACGCGAUAAGUUGACCGCCUGGGGAGUACGGCCGCAAGGUUAAAACUCAAAUGAAUUGACGGGGGCCCGCACAAGCGGUGGAGCAUGUGGUUCAAUUCGAAGCAACGCGAAGAACCUUACCUACUCUUGACAUCCAGCGAACUUGGCAGAGAUGCCUUGGUGCCUUCGGGAACGCUGAGACAGGUGCUGCAUGGCUGUCGUCAGCUCGUGUUGUGAAAUGUUGGGUUAAGUCCCGUAACGAGCGCAACUCUUAUCCUUAUUUGCCAGCACUUCGGGUGGGAACUCUAAGGAGACUGCCGGUGACAAACCGGAGGAAGGUGGGGAUGACGUCAAGUCAUCAUGGCCCUUACGAGUAGGGCUACACACGUGCUACAAUGGUCGGUACAGAGGGUCGCGAACCUGCGAGGGUGAGCCAAUCUCAGAAAACCGAUCGUAGUCCGGAUUGCAGUCUGCAACUCGACUGCAUGAAGUCGGAAUCGCUAGUAAUCGCGAAUCAGCAUGUCGCGGUGAAUACGUUCCCGGGCCUUGUACACACCGCCCGUCACACCAUGGGAGUGGAUUCCACCAGAAGCAGGUAGCUUAACCUUCGGGAGGGCGCUUGCCACGGUGAGGUUCAUGACUGG